GAUGAAGAACGCAGCGAAAUGCGAUAAGUAGUGUGAAUUGCAGAAUUCAGUGAAUCAUCGAAUCUUUGAACGCACAUUGCGCCCUUUGGUAUUCCUUAGGGCAUGCCUGUUCGAGCGUCAUUUAAACCUUCAAGCCCCCGGCUUGUGUUGGGGACCUGCGGCUGCCGCAGGCCCUGAAAUGCAGUGGCGGGCUCGCUGUCACCCCGAGCGUAGUAGUUACAUCUCGCUCUGGGCGUGCUGCGGGUUCCGGCCGUUAAAAGCCUUAUUUACCCAAGGUUGACCUCGGAUCAGGUAGGAAGACCCGCUGAACUUAAGCAUAUCAAUAAGCGGAGGA
RNAcentral lists this unclassified non-coding RNA (334 nucleotides) under soil metagenome. RNAcentral describes it as "partial contains 5.8S ribosomal RNA, internal transcribed spacer 2, and large subunit ribosomal RNA". The stretch from base 1 to 120 matches the Rfam family "5.8S ribosomal RNA", at positions 35 to 154 of the family's 154-position model. The record is from RNAcentral.